Molecule: ribosomal RNA, 255 nt
Filed under: uncultured bacterium
Lineage: Bacteria
Description: partial 16S ribosomal RNA
Rfam family: Bacterial small subunit ribosomal RNA
Source: RNAcentral
UACGGAGGUGGCAAGCGUUGUUCGGAAUUACUGGGCGUAAAGCGUGCGUAGACGGUUAUGUAAGUCGGAUGUGAAAGCCCCGGGCUCAACCCGGGAAGUGCACUCGAUACUGUCGAGCUAGAGUAUCGGAGAGGUUGGUGGAAUUCUCGGUGUAGAGGUGAAAUUCGUAGAUAUCGAGAGGAACACCGGUGGCGAAGGCGGCCAACUGGACGAAUACUGACGCUGAGACUCGAAAGCGUGGGGGGAGCAAACAGG